Molecule: small nuclear RNA, 108 nt
Organism: Suncus etruscus (white-toothed pygmy shrew)
Lineage: Eukaryota; Metazoa; Chordata; Mammalia; Eulipotyphla; Soricidae
Source: RefSeq, a predicted model, not a curated record
GUGCUCGCUUCGGCAGCACAUAUACUAAAAUUAGAAUGAUACAGAGAAGAUUAGCAUGGCCCCAAUAAAAAAACUGAAAAGUUAAUACUAUAAAAGUUGUCAUUUUUU